RNAcentral lists this unclassified non-coding RNA (211 nucleotides) under fungal sp. RNAcentral's name for it is "partial internal transcribed spacer region". The stretch from base 1 to 46 matches the Rfam family "Eukaryotic small subunit ribosomal RNA", at positions 1786 to 1831 of the family's 1831-position model. Lineage: Eukaryota; Fungi. The record is from RNAcentral.
AAGUCGUAAUAAGGUUUCCGUAGGUGAACCUGCGGAAGGAUCAUUCGCAAUAAAUGGGUUUUUUUAUAAUUCAUAGAAGAAAAAAAAAAUCCUUUACCACCUUGAGUGCAAUGUAUGAGAAAAGGGGCCAUUUGGCUUGUCUGAAAUAAACAUAUCCUUUGAAUAACUUAAUUCAAUAAUACAACUUUCAACAACGGAUCUCUUGGCUCUC